Molecule: non-coding RNA, 46 nt
Filed under: Trichobilharzia regenti
Lineage: Eukaryota; Metazoa; Platyhelminthes; Trematoda; Strigeidida; Schistosomatidae
Source: RNAcentral
GUAUUACUGAAGAGUCCCAAACUAGGAUGAAACAGCUGUCUAGUAC